Long non-coding RNA from Balaenoptera ricei (Rice's whale), 3020 nucleotides. RefSeq lists it as uncharacterized. Lineage: Eukaryota; Metazoa; Chordata; Mammalia; Artiodactyla; Balaenopteridae. The record is from RefSeq and is a predicted model, not a curated record. The transcript has 7 exons.
GGAGCGAGUUAGGAGGUAGGCGGAGUCUUGUGGGGGGCGGGGAGGUCCCGGAGCCGGCUGGUGGGCGGGGUCUAAAGGGAGCGGCCAGUAAGGAGGGCUCGCUGUUCAGGGCCUGUGGAGUGGGCGCGUUCUAGGACGAGGGGGCGUGGCCCACCGUGCGCCGGCAGGUGGGCGGGGCCUCGGUGGGUCAGGCGUGCCCAGAGCGGCCUACAUUCCGGGCGCAAGCCCGUUGGUCUCCAUGUCAGUGAGGUUGCCCCGCAGGUCCUGCUCCUCCUCGAAGGCCUUGAACAGUGAGUUGAAGUUGCCGGCUCCAAAACCCUGGAGCGGGAGAAAGGAGAAUGCAAGUUCCAUGACGGCAGGAACCUGGUCUGCUUUCCCGGCUGCAUCCCAGUGCCUGAUGCAAGGUUUAGACAACAUUUGUGAGGCAAGAUGGAACUCAGGGCUUGUUCUCCUCGACUGACCGAGGAUCCUGUUCUAGGCCUUACCUCCAGAACAUCAAUAUUCUCCUUCACCCGGAUCUUGGCCGUUUUGAGCUUCUCCCGCAGUUGUUUGUAGUAUGUGGACGGAACAGCCAAAAACUCCAUGCCUCUCUCUCUCAAGUGGUGAAUCUGUCUCAGAGCAGGGUCAAGCCAAGGUCCCUGGGGCCCGAGGGAGGCCCCACCUGGAUCUGGGACUUCUUCCUGCCCGGCGCUGGCUCGUUAAUGGGCAUUUUGAUGGACUCCUCGUAAUUGGCCACCACGAUGGACCGCAGAGAGCUGUACUCCGUGUGCACCUGCGUGUCAUCCACGGACCAGAAACGGUGGAACUGCAGGUUCUUCAGAUGAGGACAUUGAGGCACAGAGAAUUUAAGUCACUCACCUGAAGUCACACAGCUAAUAAGAUUGAGACCCAGCAGUCUGCCUCUGGAAUCUACAUUCUGAACAUCUAAACUGCCUCUUGAAUACAGCGUUUGAUGCAGAAACUGAGGCUCAGACAGAGGUUGCAUGGCUACUAAGGGGCAGAGUGUCACUGGAACUCAGACAGAGGGCAGGCCGAGCCUCACUGCUUCGUCUCCGUGCCAGCCCAGGUGCGGCCUCACCUGCACGAUGUAGUCACAAUCCUCCACCUCGAAGGCAAUGUCCUUCACUCCGUCGCCGUGUUUCACCAGGUGAUCGCCCAUCUCUGUGGCCGGCAGGGGAGGCGGGUGGCGCUGGAGUCGAGGCCCCUCCCCUGUACUCUCAGCCUUCUGGGCUUCAUCUCCUUCUAGGCUGAGGCUCCCUCCCUGAACCCUGAUCCACCCCUGUGUCCCUAACCCCACCCACAAUACCACGUCUCCACUCCCUGGCACCCCGAACCCUCUGGGGCCCCCUCACCUUUGUUCCAGGGGUUGAGGGCAGAGGAGAAGAUGAACACAAUCUAAGGCGUAGAGGAGAAGGGAGGCGUGGCUGGUGGCUCAGGCGAGCUUCUGGAGGUGCACCUCCAGCCCCGUUCCCUGCCCACCAGCGGGAUACCCCUGGUGGGACAUUAGGACAAGACCUCUCUUCCCAGCCAGGUAGGACUGUUGACCCUGGGUUCCUGUCCUUUCUCAGCCUUAGCUUCCCCUCUGGUCCUGAGGGAUGGGGGCUUCUCCCGUGCCAGACCCUCCUGGGGCCUUGGGAUGAGCUGCCAGUCAAGCCUCCCGGUGGGGAGAGCCCCAGGGACCCACGGACCAGGGCACUGCUCAGGUUUCCAGGUCUGACGUCUGAGGCCUUUGCCAACUGUUCUCGAACAUCUGUGAGACCAGCGUUGGGCCAGGCCGAGAAGUAGACCAAACCAAGAAGGUCCCUGUUGCGUGUCGUACAAAGGUGCCAGUGGAGGGCCCAGCGGGGGCUGACCUCAGUGCACGCUCCGCUAACCACACCAGGCAGCCUGGAAGAGCACUGGGCCACCUGGAGGAAGGGCUUCCUGGCCUCCUGCACCCAGAGGUGCCAGAGCUGUCACGGAGCUCAGAGACCAGCAGGGAGAGAGAUGGCCCUCCUGGAUGGGUGGGGUCCUGGGUGUAGACUCACCUUCCCUUGCUUGAUCACGUGGCUGACCAUCUCCCGGGAACCCGUCUCCAGGCCCUUGUAGGCUAGGGGUUCAAAGCCCAUCUUGCUGCAGUAGUACGACGCAGCCUGAAUCACAGAGUUGCAGACGGGCCUGUGAGGGUCGAGGGGCCAGCCCCCAGUCCCCCCAGCCUAUCUGCCCUGUUGCCCCAGGUGCCGAGAUCCUCCUGGGAAGAAAGCCUGCUCCCUGGCCCACGCUGAUCUCAGAUGAGGAAACUGAGACUCAGGAAGAUGAAGACUUGCCCAAAUAAUAAAUUGUCGGAACUUGCCUGCUGGCUCAGUGGUUAAGAUUUCGCCUCCCAAUGCAGGGGACAUGGGUUUGAGCCCUGGUCCGGGAACAUCCCACAUGCCGCGGAGCAACUAAGCCUGUGCGCCAUAACUACUGAGCCCGCGCUCUAGAGCCCUCGAGCCACAACUACUGAGCCUGGGUGCUGCAACUACUGAAGUCCACAUGCCUAGAGCCCGUGCUCUGCAACAAGAGAAGCCACCGCAGUGAAAAGCCUGCGCGCCGCAGCGAAGAGUAGCCCCCGCUCGCCGCAACUAGAGAAAGCCCAUGGGCAGCAAUGAAGACCCAACACAGCCAAAAAUAAAUAAAUGAAUAAUUUUUAAAAAAAUAAUAAAUUGUCCACUGUGAUUAGAAAGUGCUGAACAAGAACUUGGAUCCAGACCACGUUUAUAUCACUAUGUGGGCUGCUGUCCAAACAUAAAACCAAUCCCUUUAUUCCAGGUCUCAAGGAGCUUAACAUCCACUGGGGAAAACUAUGUGAAGGCUCUGAUCCAGACUUUAUCAUUUUUAAAGUCUAAAGCAGGUCCUGGCCAGCAUUUUCCAUAAAGAACUAGAUAAUAAAUAUUUCAGGCUUUGAGGGCCAUAUAGCCUCUGCUGAAACUACUCAGCUCUACAAUUGUAGCAUGAAAGCAGCCAGAGGCAGUAUGUAAAUGAAUUGGCAUGGUUGUGUG